AAAUUUUGCUCAUUCUUCAAGACUGAUUGAGGAAGGUGCGAAAUAAACCACCUAGAUAAUAAAGGUACGCAGCACAUGAGAGUCCCUUGCCUUUUCAUAGUACGAGUGUGAAGGGAAUGCAAAAUGUCUCCAAGCAAGGUGGGCACAGGGUUAUGAGUGAGAAAUAUCUUAACAGCAUUCAUGUCUAUGAAUUGAUCCGGAUUAGGAAAUAGCACCAAACCAUAGAUUAGUAAGGCUAGAACAUCUUCGAAA
RNAcentral lists this long non-coding RNA (252 nucleotides) under Lathyrus oleraceus (garden pea). RNAcentral's name for it is "Pisum sativum (pea) long non-coding RNA (PSAT_LNC027591)". The record is from RNAcentral. Lineage: Eukaryota; Viridiplantae; Streptophyta; Magnoliopsida; Fabales; Fabaceae.